CACCUAAUCCUCCUUCCGAAUUUAGCGUAACCGUUUACUGAGUGUUACGCCAUUCAUUCAUCAUGUCCACUCUACUUCAAUCUUCUUUCAUUUCUUCUUCUUCUUCCUCCUUCUCUCCGAUAACUCCUCGUUUCUCCCUCCGCUACGCUGCCGCCGUCAGAUGUAAUAAUGUAGUACAAUCUGUCAAUCUAGAAAACGGAAAACCGUACCGUUCAACUGAAUAUUCAGUUACCGGUGGUACAAGUUCAAUUCCGAGUUAUCUAGUCGCGCCAAACACUCGUAUUCAUGAUCUUGUUAACAAGAAUCGUCUUCGUAUUUUCUCCGGCACCGCUAAUCCCGCACUCGCUCAGGAAAUUGCAUGCUAUAUGGGCCUGGAUUUGGGAAAAAUUAAGAUAAAACGUUUUGCCGAUGGGGAGAUAUAUGUCCAACUGCAAGAGAGUGUCAGGGGGUGUGAUGUGUUUCUUGUGCAGCCUACAUGUCCUCCCGCGAAUGAGAAUCUUAUGGAGCUUCUUGUAAUGAUUGAUGCCUGCAGGAGAGCUUCUGCCAAAAAUAUUACUGCAGUCAUUCCCUAUUUUGGAUAUGCUAGAGCUGAUAGAAAGACUCAAGGGCGUGAAUCAAUUGCUGCUAAGCUUGUAGCAAAUUUAAUUACUGAAGCUGGUGCAAAUCGUGUUCUUGCAUGUGACCUCCACUCUGGGCAGUCUAUGGGAUACUUCGAUAUUCCAGUUGAUCAUGUGUAUGGACAGCCUGUUAUACUCGAUUACCUUGCAAGCAAGACUAUUUGUUCAGAUGAUUUGGUAGUUGUCUCGCCAGAUGUUGGUGGUGUAGCUCGAGCACGUGCUUUUGCCAAAAAGUUAUCUGAUGCUCCUUUAGCGAUCGUUGAUAAAAGACGUCAUGGGCAUAAUGUUGCCGAGGUGAUGAAUUUGAUAGGUGAUGUAAAAGGAAAGGUAGCAGUGAUGGUAGAUGACAUGAUUGAUACUGCUGGGACCAUCGCCAAAGGAGCAGCUCUUUUGCAUCAAGAAGGGGCAAGAGAAGUCUAUGCAUGCACAACACAUGCUGUUUUCAGCCCGCCUGCUAUAGAGAGAUUGUCAAGUGGUUUAUUUCAAGAAGUUAUCAUAACUAAUACAAUUCCAGUGGCAGAGAAGAACUACUUCCCCCAAUUAACUGUCUUAUCAGUAGCAAACCUUCUGGGCGAGACCAUAUGGCGUGUUCAUGAUGACUGCUCAGUGAGUAGCAUAUUUCUGUAAAAUAAGUUUCGUUGGUCAUUUCUUCAUUCUACCAAUAGAAAAAAGGAGACUACUCUCCAUACUUGCAUGCUUACAUGCACAUAUGCAUCUAUUCAAAUACAUCAAUUUUGGAAAAAGUUGAGCAUGGUGGAAUUGAACCUUAUUCCAGUUUGGGCAUUGAUUGAACAAAUUGUUGUAUCCAUGUUAUGCUGUUCCAGCUUAUGACACUGCAGUAACAAGAAGUGGCAGAAUCGUAUAGUCGAUUUAUUAUAGAAAAAGCUUGUCAUUAGUAAUACCUUUUAGAGAGCUGUUUGGGGUAAUUUUUUGUACUUGAAAAAUACACUGUAGGUAUAUUUGGAAUUUACAGGGAAUAUUGUUGUAUUUUUACCCCGCUUGAUGAGUAUAAUUUUGUAAGAAAAAUAUUGAAUUGUGUGACUGUUUAGGUGUAUUGUUUUUAUUCUGUCUUACAUGUAUUGAUUUUGGAUAUAAGAAACAGUUUGAUUGAAUUAAACACGCUCAAGUAUAUUUAUAGUGAA
Molecule: RNA transcript, 1759 nt
Organism: Medicago truncatula (barrel medic)
Lineage: Eukaryota; Viridiplantae; Streptophyta; Magnoliopsida; Fabales; Fabaceae
Gene name: ribose-phosphate pyrophosphokinase 1
Exons: 9
Source: RefSeq, a predicted model, not a curated record